Molecule: ribosomal RNA, 288 nt
Filed under: uncultured bacterium
Lineage: Bacteria
Description: partial 16S ribosomal RNA
Rfam family: Bacterial small subunit ribosomal RNA
Source: RNAcentral
GUGGAUUAGAUACCCUAGUAGUCCACGCUGUAAACGAUGAAUGCUAGGUGUAGCGGGUAUCGACCCCUGCUGUGCCGGAGUAAACACAAUAAGCAUUCCGCCUGGGGAGUACGGCCGCAAGGUUGAAACUCAAAGGAAUUGACGGGGGCCCGCACAAGCAGCGGAGCAUGUUGUUUAAUUCGAAGCAACGCGAAGAACCUUACCAGGUCUUGACAUCGAGGAAAACUUCUAGAGAUAGAAGGUGCCUUCGGGCAUCCGAAGACAGGUGGUGCACGGUUGUCGACAACU